RNAcentral lists this ribosomal RNA (822 nucleotides) under Epichloe sylvatica. RNAcentral describes it as "partial large subunit ribosomal RNA". It matches the Rfam family "Eukaryotic large subunit ribosomal RNA", at positions 66 to 917 of the family's 3401-position model. Lineage: Eukaryota; Fungi; Ascomycota; Sordariomycetes; Hypocreales; Clavicipitaceae. The record is from RNAcentral.
CAACAGGGAUUGCCCCAGUAACGGCGAGUGAAGCGGCAACAGCUCAAAUUUGAAAUCUGGCCCCCCGGGGCCCGAGUUGUAAUUUGUAGAGGAUGCUUUUGGCGAGGCGCCUUCCGAGUUCCCUGGAACGGGACGCCACAGAGGGUGAGAGCCCCGUCUGGUUGGAUGCCGAGCCUCUGUAAAGCUCCUUCGACGAGUCGAGUAGUUUGGGAAUGCUGCUCUAAAUGGGAGGUAUAUGUCUUCUAAAGCUAAAUAUUGGCCAGAGACCGAUAGCGCACAAGUAGAGUGAUCGAAAGAUGAAAAGCACUUUGAAAAGAGGGUUAAAUAGUACGUGAAAUUGUUGAAAGGGAAGCGCUCAUGACCAGACUUGGGCCCGGUGGAUCAUCCAGCGUUCUCGCUGGUGCACUUUGCCGGGCCCAGGCCAGCAUCAGUUUGCCCCGGGGGACAAAGGCUCUGGGAAUGUGGCUCCUCCGGGAGUGUUAUAGCCCUCUGCGCAAUGCCCUGGGGCGGACUGAGGUUCGCGCAUCUGCAAGGAUGCUGGCGUAAUGGUCAUCAGCGACCCGUCUUGAAACACGGACCAAGGAGUCGUCCUCGUAUGCGAGUGUUCGGGUGUGAAACCCCUACGCGUAAUGAAAGUGAACGCAGGUGAGAGCUUCGGCGCAUCAUCGACCGAUCCUGAUGUUCUCGGAUGGAUUUGAGUAGGAGCAUACGGGGCCGGACCCGAAAGAAGGUGAACUAUGCCUGUAUAGGGUGAAGCCAGAGGAAACUCUGGUGGAGGCUCGCAGCGGUUCUGACGUGCAAAUCGAUCGUCAAAUAUGGGCA